UACGUAGGGGGCAAGCGUUGUCCGGAUUUAUUGGGCGUAAAACGCUCGUAGGUGGCUACGUCAAGUCGGACGUGAAAUCUCCCGGCUUAACCUGGGAACUGCGUCUGAUACUGGGAGGCUUGAGUAUGGGAGAGGGAUGUAGAAUUCCAGGUGUAGCGGUGAAAUGCGUAGAUAUCUGGAGGAAUACCGGUGGCGAAGGCGGCAUCCUGGACCAUAACUGACGCUGAGGCGCGAAAGCUAGGGGAGCAAACGGG
This 254-nucleotide ribosomal RNA is filed under the name uncultured bacterium. RNAcentral's name for it is "partial 16S ribosomal RNA". It matches the Rfam family "Bacterial small subunit ribosomal RNA", at positions 524 to 776 of the family's 1533-position model. The record is from RNAcentral.